CCUACGGGCGGCAGCAGUGGGGAAUAUUGGACAAUGGGCGAAAGCCUGAUCCAGCCAUGCCGCGUGUGUGAAGAAGGCCUUCGGGUUGUAAAGCACUUUCAGUGGGGAAGAAAGCCUUGGGGCUAAUACCCUCGAGGAAGGACAUCACCCACAGAAGAAGCACCGGCUAACUCCGUGCCAGCAGCCGCGGUAAUACGGAGGGUGCGAGCGUUAAUCGGAAUUACUGGGCGUAAAGCGCGCGGAGGCGGUCUGGUAAGCCGGUUGUGAAAGCCCCGGGCUCAACCUGGGAACGGCAUUCGGAACUGUCAGGCUAGAGUGCGGGAGAGGGAGGUAGAAUUCCCGGUGUAGCGGUGAAAUGCGUAGAGAUCGGGAGGAAUACCAGUGGCGAAGGCGGCCUUCUGGACUGACACUGACGCUGAGGUGCGAAAGCGUGGGUAGCAAACAGGAUUAGAUACCCUUGUAGUC
This 465-nucleotide ribosomal RNA is filed under the name Vreelandella stevensii. RNAcentral describes it as "partial 16S ribosomal RNA". It matches the Rfam family "Bacterial small subunit ribosomal RNA", at positions 338 to 795 of the family's 1533-position model. The record is from RNAcentral. Lineage: Bacteria; Pseudomonadati; Pseudomonadota; Gammaproteobacteria; Oceanospirillales; Halomonadaceae.